CAGUUCGCAGAAUAAACACUGAGGGACUGCUCCCUUUGCCAUUGACCGCUCUGCGUCAGAAGCCACGCAGACCCGUUUCAGGUGCACCCAGUUCCUCUCCUUCUCCACCACUCCUGCUGCCAUGGCUGUCCCGUGCACAGCUGCCGCCGUCCUCAGCCUGCUCUCGCUGACCGCAGCUGCCCCGUCCGGCUGCGAGGACGCGCUCACACCCCUGGAGACGGUCAACCACUCUCAGAAUUCUGGGAAAUGGUUCCUUGUUGGAGGAGCUUGUGAAUGCAAGAAAACGCAAACCUGUCUGAGAAAUAUAGAGAAUGCCUGGAUGGAAAUGAUAGUUAACCCUCAGCGUGACAAAAUUUUUCUCAAUGCUGCUGCCAAGAUCAAUGGAUCAUGUCAUUUUUUUCUUGAAAACAUAGAAAUUGUUAAAGCCUCUCUCCUAUUUGACCCUGAACGGGUUGACGACUUGGUCCAUCUAUACAACUGUCCCAGCUGCUUGCUCAUGAAAUUCAACAACACUGAAGACGGGAAAACCAUUCAUUGUGUACAGCUGUGGGCAAGAACCAGGAAUCUCAGUGUUGCGGAGCUGGAUGCACACAAACGCCGAAUGGAGUGUUUUGGCUUAGGAGGCUUGAUCUUGAAGGACCCUGACACAGACCUCUGUCCCAACAACCUGAACUUCUCAUCCAAAGUCUGGUCUAUGAAGCACCAGCUGACCUCUGAGACCCCGCUCAACUGUGAGAAUUUGCUCAGACCGCAGUAUCCGAGUGACCUUACUCAGGUGUCGGGAAACUGGUUCCUUAUUGCCGAAGCAGACAAUAAUUCUAGAAGUUCUAUGGCAGAAGUGGAAAGUGUCUGGAUGAAGAUAUCGCCAACACCACAGAAUGGCACCUUCUACAUCAACACUAUAAUCAAGACCCAUAAGGGUUGUGAGAUAUACAGGACCAACAGAACCAUCGCCCACAAUACUAUCACAGCAGUUUCUUCAGGCAUUGGUCCAAAACAGCAUGUGAUGGAGCUGCUCAGCUGGUCCGACUCUCUGCUCUUGAAGUUCAGCCACAAUGCACAGAGCAAGGUGAUCUUGCAGCUGCAUAUCUGGGGAAGAACCAGGACCCUGCCUGAUUCUGUCAUGGACACGUUCAGGAGACAAGUGAACUGCCUGGACCUGGGACUCCAAGAGUUCAUGGACCCCGAGAAAGAUGUGUGUCCCGAAAAGGAGAUCUCCUCAACCAAAUAAGACCUCAACACACACCAGCAGUCCAAGAGCGACUGAUGAUGUAUCUUGAAAACGCAUGUCAGUUAUACAAGAGUGAACCAGUAGUGUUAGUGUUAACAGGUUAAAACAGUACCCCACUUCUCAGCUGCUAAUGCCGGAGGUAAGCAAAGGUGCGCAGUCCAGAAAAAAGGACAUUUUACUCAUUUACUCAGCUGGGUAAUUUUUACUGUAUCUGUUCAGGGUAAGUACCUUGACUGACCGAUUUCAAAAAAAGAGUACUCCUGUGUGACAUUCUUACUGACCAUUACUCCUUGUGUCAUUAGCACAUUAACUGAAAUUUAACGUGUUCAUUAAUCAAUUCAAACUGAAAUUUAUUAAUUAAAUACAUUUGUAAAUGUUCUACGACCCAUUAUAACAGUCACCGGUGACACUAAAGCACCUUUCAUUCGCCGCACCUUUAGUGUUUUUUUUAUGAAUCUAACCGGUUCACCCGGCCACACCCGAUGC
RNAcentral lists this long non-coding RNA (1717 nucleotides) under Scleropages formosus (Asian bonytongue). RNAcentral's name for it is "lncRNA (ENSSFOG00015025235.1)". Lineage: Eukaryota; Metazoa; Chordata; Actinopteri; Osteoglossiformes; Osteoglossidae. The record is from RNAcentral.